This 212-nucleotide long non-coding RNA is filed under the name Musa acuminata (dwarf banana). RNAcentral's name for it is "long non-coding RNA (MACU_LNC011125)". Lineage: Eukaryota; Viridiplantae; Streptophyta; Magnoliopsida; Zingiberales; Musaceae. The record is from RNAcentral.
AAAGGAAUGAAACCAGAAUAUGAGAAAUCGACCAAAGCUCGAUUUCUGGCAGAAUACAAGAGGCACAUUGAACAAAUGAUUCAAACUAUCAAUCGUGCUCCAAUUUACUCAGAAAUAUAUCAUUGGAUUAUACUUUCAGAUAAGACAAGCUUCAUAUGAAUUGAACUGUCCAACAGAGAGAGUUACAAAUAGUUUGGUAAACAAGGGUCGCA